Leopardus geoffroyi (Geoffroy's cat) is the source of this 671-nucleotide long non-coding RNA. RefSeq lists it as uncharacterized. NCBI's taxonomy places the organism in Eukaryota, Metazoa, Chordata, Mammalia, Carnivora, Felidae. The record is from RefSeq and is a predicted model, not a curated record. The transcript is spliced from 2 exons.
GUGAGAUCGUGACCUGAGCCUAAGUCAGAGGCUUAACCGACUGAGCCACCCAGGGGCCCCUUCUCUCUCUCUUUUUUGAUUCAUUUCACUAGCCAUGAAGUCAUUCAGCUUGACUUGAUGCUCUAAUUUCGUGCUGUCCUUACUAACUUCUAUUUAAAAGUAGAUUUGCGUGUCAGUUUGCCUACGGGGAAAGAAGGUGCUGACCAGCCACCAUGGGCGUUCUCACCGACUCCACUACCCUGAAGUUAUAUUUUUCAUAAGCCUGCAAGAAGCCAAGGGAGCAGCUGGAGGGCGGACACAAAGCUCUUUUCCGUUUUCAAAUAGCUGUGUAUUUUCCUGGGGUGACCUAAUAGCUGGGACAGAGAACAUUGUAGCAAAGUCCGUAGUCAUUCUUUCUGAGCCCUUCCUUUGUUCUGGACGUUACUCAGACUCUCUGCUCUUUCUGCUCAGAACUCGCUGUCUUGUCCUGCUCUCCAUGUGCUUAGUUUACAAAUAGGCUUUGAAAUUUCUUUUUCCUAAUGUCUUAAGCAGGACUGACUUCUCCGUUUCUUGAAAUUGACAUCAAGCCAAGAACAUCGGAUUCCCCAAAAAUGAUGAUCAUGCCUUCGUCUGGAUGCUUUAGAGAUGUGAAGGAGGGUUGCAGAAAAAUAAAUGAGAUGCCUUUAAACUGA